UUCUCAUUAGAGACCUAUAAUAAAAUUAGAAUGAUAUAGAGAAGUUUAACAUGGUUGCACAAGAAUGAUACACAAAAGUCAAGAAAAUGAUGAUCCAAUAGUUUU
Non-coding RNA from Beta vulgaris subsp. vulgaris (sugar beet), 105 nucleotides. Lineage: Eukaryota; Viridiplantae; Streptophyta; Magnoliopsida; Caryophyllales; Amaranthaceae. The record is from Rfam.